UGCUAUGAUUCACAAGGACCCAGGUACACAGCAGGGUAACGUACCCCGGAAUUUUUACCAAUUCGAUAACUGAAGCCAUGCAAAUCCUGAAACUUCACUUGAAACUCCUCUAGGGCAGGAAGUGCAAUUUGAUUAUUCAAUUUAUUGCUAAAAAUUGGUCUGAGCUAAAGUUGGUAUUAAUGGAAAACAAGGUCGACUAAAUUUUCUGAUUGAAGACUGCAACUCCAAGGUGCUAACUUGGUUCUUAUUGUAUGUGGGCAUGAUCACUUUCUGGAUGACCUAUGGCUAAACAAUCUGUGGCCUGAGCUCAGGAGGUUUGUUGAAGCCAUUGACUUGAAUGUAUCAGAUGCUGUAAGCUCCCUCACAAGCACACUCCAUGUAUUGUAAUCCUUGUAAAGAUAGCUGUCGAGUGGGCCAAAUCACGAUCCACCAACUAGGGAAGA
Molecule: long non-coding RNA, 443 nt
Organism: Tripterygium wilfordii
Lineage: Eukaryota; Viridiplantae; Streptophyta; Magnoliopsida; Celastrales; Celastraceae
Exons: 2
Source: RefSeq, a predicted model, not a curated record